UACAGAGGGGGCAAGCGUUGUUCGGAAUUACUGGGCGUAAAGGGCGCGUAGGCGGCCUUCUAAGUCGAACGUGAAAUCCCCGGGCUCAACCCGGGAACUGCGUCCGAUACUGGAAGGCUUGAAUCCGGGAGAGGGAUGCGGAAUUCCAGGUGUAGCGGUGAAAUGCGUAGAUAUCGGAAGGAACAUCAGUGGCGAAAGCGGCUUCCUGGACCAGCACCGACGUUCAGGCACGAAAGCGUGGGGAGCAAACAGG
This 253-nucleotide ribosomal RNA is filed under the name uncultured bacterium. Its description in RNAcentral is "partial 16S ribosomal RNA". It matches the Rfam family "Bacterial small subunit ribosomal RNA", at positions 524 to 776 of the family's 1533-position model. The record is from RNAcentral.